Molecule: long non-coding RNA, 1065 nt
Filed under: Daucus carota (carrot)
Lineage: Eukaryota; Viridiplantae; Streptophyta; Magnoliopsida; Apiales; Apiaceae
Description: long non-coding RNA (DCAR_LNC005148)
Source: RNAcentral
UGGAACUAGCAGCACCCAAACCACAAGAACUGGAUAAAUUUCUGGCAAAUAUAGACAAUAUAUGUAGGCACUUAAGCGUAUUUGUCGAUUUUUCAUUCUGUAGCAACAGAUAUCUGCAGGUAAAGAAAGCAAUGCUUCGACAAAAGACAUAUUUAGGUAGUAAAGUAUAUAAUUUAUAAGUAUAUGUUGAUAUGCCUUCUAUAGAUAGCAUACAUUCUCCACAACUACAUAGCUAGAUAGCUUGCUUCAGCUAGACCAGUUAAGGAUUAGGUGAUGGUGGGGUGAGCGCUUCAGCCUCGGCUGAUGUGCUCUGGUUAGGAGGUUUCGGGACUGUUGGAACUUCACCUACAGGACUAACCUCGGCUGAUGUGCUCUGUUUAGGAGGUCUCAGGGCUGAUGUGCUCUGUUUAGGAGGUCUCGGGGCUGAUGUGCUCUGUUUAGGAGGUUUCGGGACUGUUGGAACUUCACCUACAGGACCAACUGACGAGUGCUGAACUGCAGCAGUCUGAGCCUUUGGCGACGGAAAUGGAGGAGUUUGAGCUGGUGGAGGCUGAAUGGGAGAUUGGUUGGUCAGUAAGGGCUGAGACGUAGGGGAUAGCGGACCCUGAUCUGGCGGAGAUGAGCCGGGUGAGGACUGGUCCAGGGGAGGUGGUAAAAGAAAUCUGGGUAUAGGAAUGCAUCCAAUAAGGCGAAUACAGUAGCCAGGAGGAUCAUACGAAAAGUAUGGUAAAAAUGGGAAUAUAGAAGAACCACCACCCCCUGGGUUGAACGGUGGAAAUCCAAAAAUGCCUGGUAUAUUGAAAGUUCCUCCUGGAAUAUUGUCUGGGUGAUCUAGUUUUUGUUGACCCGAAAAAUUCCAGGUACGAAAGCCUGAAAAGCUUGGAGGCAAACCAAAAAAGUUUUGACCCUGGUUAACAUCUUUUAUCUUGCUAAUACUGUUGCCUCUUGCUUCAACCAUGUCUGACUUGAAGCACAUAUCAAAGACAAUCAACAUUAUUAUUACCUUACUGAACUUCUCCAUUCUAACAACUUCUGUGUUCUCACUCUUCCCGAAUGAUGAAAGGA